GUGUGGGGGGACAUUCCACGUUUUCCGCGCCGUAGCUAACGCAUUAAGUGCCCCGCCUGGGGAGUACGGCCGCAAGGCUAAAACUCAAAGGAAUUGACGGGGGCCCGCACAAGCGGCGGAGCAUGCGGAUUAAUUCGAUGCAACGCGAAGAACCUUACCAAGGCUUGACAUGAACCGGACCGCUGCAGAAAUGUGGUUUCCCCUUUGGGGCUGGUUUACAGGUGGUGCAUGGUUGUCGUCAGCUCGUGUCGUGAGAUGUUGGGUUAAGUCCCGCAACGAGCGCAACCCUCGUUCUAUGUUGCCAGCACGUGAUGGUGGGGACUCAUAGGAGACUGCCGGGGUCAACUCGGA
RNAcentral lists this ribosomal RNA (351 nucleotides) under Arthrobacter sp. RNAcentral's name for it is "bacterial SSU rRNA". It matches the Rfam family "Bacterial small subunit ribosomal RNA", at positions 820 to 1167 of the family's 1533-position model. The record is from RNAcentral. Lineage: Bacteria; Bacillati; Actinomycetota; Actinomycetes; Micrococcales; Micrococcaceae.